This 108-nucleotide ribosomal RNA is filed under the name uncultured bacterium. RNAcentral describes it as "partial 16S ribosomal RNA". It matches the Rfam family "Bacterial small subunit ribosomal RNA", at positions 1360 to 1482 of the family's 1533-position model. The record is from RNAcentral.
CGGUGAAUACGUUCCCGGGCCUUGUACACACCGCCCGUCAAGCCAUGGGAGUUGGGGUACCUGAAGCCGGCAGCGAUGCCGUCUAGGGUAAAACCAAUGACUGGGGCU